This is a non-coding RNA of Gymnothorax javanicus (giant moray), 73 nucleotides long. NCBI's taxonomy places the organism in Eukaryota, Metazoa, Chordata, Actinopteri, Anguilliformes, Muraenidae. The record is from the annotation of a GenBank genome assembly.
GGCUCUGUAGCACAAUGGAUAGCGCUUUGAACAUCUAACUCAAAGGUUGUGGGUCCGAGUCCCACCAGAGUCG